AGGAUCAUUGUCGAAAGCUGCAAGGCAGAAUGACUUGUGAACAAGUGAAAAAUUGCGGUUGAAAAAAUGGGCCUUUGCCUCUCUCAACUUGGUCAUUGGAGGCGGUUUGGCCUUGUGCCCCCCCGCAACUCUCAUGGUCCGAAUCCAACACCCCUCAGCGCGGAAUGCGCCAAGGAAAACAAACAGAAUGUGUACGAUGCCCCUUGCACCGUAAAGGGUUGCAUGUGGCUUGCGUAUUUCGCUUACUAAAACGUUACAACGACUCUCGGCAACGGAUAUCUUGGCUCUCGCAUCGAUGAAGAACGUAGCAAAAUGCGAUAGCUGGUGUGAAUUGCAGAAUCCCGUGAACCAUCGAGUCUUUGAACGCAAGUUGCGCCUGAAGCCGUCAGGCCAAGGGCACGCCUGCCUGGGUGUCACCCUCCCCCUUGCCCAAGUACCUCCUCCCACGGAAAAAUGGGAAGUGUUAUUCGGGCGGAUAAAUGGCCUCCCAUGGGGAUAUUUUUCGUGGCUGGCCCAAAAUUAGCACUUGGCUCUUAGGAAGCCCUCGACAAGCAUUGGCGAAAAACUCUGGUGAUUCCUUGAUUGUUGUUGUCGUGUUGGACUUUGUAGUGUGCUAGAAAAAAAACCUCGGUGCUUGCAUCCUUAGAUUUGCGACCCCAU
RNAcentral lists this ribosomal RNA (660 nucleotides) under Parnassia wightiana. RNAcentral's name for it is "eukaryotic LSU rRNA". The stretch from base 261 to 416 matches the Rfam family "5.8S ribosomal RNA". Lineage: Eukaryota; Viridiplantae; Streptophyta; Magnoliopsida; Celastrales; Celastraceae. The record is from RNAcentral.